UCAAGCUGAAAAGAGCGCAAGGGGAAUGCCUUGGCAUCAGGAGCCGACGAAGGACGUGACAAGCUGCGAUAAGCCACGGGGAGGAGCAAAUAUCCGUUAUAUCCGUGGAUUUCCGAAUGGGGGAACCCGCUCAAGCAAUACUUGAGCAUCGUGCGUUGAAUCAAAUAGGCGUACGAAGGGAACGGCCUGAACUGAAACAUCUAAGUAGGGCCAGGAAAAGACAUCAACCGAGAUUCCGCUAGUAGUGGCGAGCGAACGCGGAGGAGGCCAAACCGAGGGACGCAAGUUCUUCGGGGUUGCGGACAGACAUCAAGACCAGAGGUAAUUAAGAGAACGGCGUGGGAAAGCCGGCCAUAGAAGGUGAGAGCCCUGUAUCUGAAAAUGAAGACUGGCAGUCUGGAUCCAGAGUACCGCGGGACACGUGAAACCCCGUGGGAAACCGGGUGGACCACCAUCCAAGCCUAAAUACUACCUGAUGACCGAUAGAGGAGCAGUACCGUGAGGGAAAGGUGAAAAGGACCCCGGGAGGGGAGUGAAAGAGAACCUGAAACCUUGUGCUUACAAGCAGUCAAAGCACGUUAACGUGUGAUGACGUACUUUUUGUAGAACGGUCCGGCGAGUUAUAGUAACGAGCAAGCUUAAGGUAUUGAGUACCGGAGGCGAAGCGAGAGCGAGUCUGAAUAGGGCGUAAAGUUCGUUGCCAUAGACCCGAAACCGGGUGACCUAUCCAUGAGCAGGCUGAAGUGAGAGUAAAAUCUCAUGGAGGGCCGAACCGACCCCCGUUGCAAUGGUGGCGGAUGACUUGUGGAUAGCGGAGAAAUUCCAAUCGAACUCGGAGAUAGCUGGUUCUCCCCGAAAUAGCUUUAGGGCUAGCCUCAUGUUAGAUAUCCGGAGGUAAAGCACUGAAUGGCCUAGCGUCCGAGAGGAUAGCGAAGCCUAUCAAACUAAGAAUGCCGGAAUAUUGAUGCAUGGGAGUCAGACAGUGUGAGAUAAAUCUCAUUGUCAAAAGGGAAACAGCCCAGAUCUACAGCUAAGGUCCCAAAUUGUAUCUAAGUGGAAAACGAUGUGGAAAUACGCAGACAACCAGGAUGUUGGCUCAGAAGCAGCCACUCAUUUAAAGAGUGCGUAAUAGCUCACUGGUCGAGCGUCUCUGCGCGGAAAAUUUAACGGGGCUAAGAUACAAACCGAAGCUUAGGCUGCACUUUUAGUGCGGGGUAGGGGAGCGUUGUGUAAGCGGAGAAACAGUAGCGGAAGCGGCUGUGGAGUUUACAGAAGUGAGAAUGCCGGAAUGAGUAGCGCGAAUGAUGUGAGAAUCAUCAUGGCCGGAAACCUCAGGUUUUUGGAGGAAGGUUCGUCCGCUCCAAGUUAGGCGGGAGCUAAGGUGAGGCCGAAAGGCGUAGCCGAUGCACAGACGGUAGAGAUUCCGUCCCCACCGAAAGAUUUAAGCGCAGGGACACUUUUAGAAGGUCGGAGCCAGGUGUUGGUUCUGGUAGAGAUCGAGGGAAGAUUAGUACCGAAGUCCGGCUGGAUAAGAGGCGAGAAAAGCUGCGUGUAUAUCUAAGGUGCCCGUACCGCAAACCGACACAGGUAGGUAGGAAGAAGAUUCUAAGGCCAACGGGAGAAGGGUUGUUAAGGAACUCGGCAAGUUGACCCCGUAACUUCGGAAUAAGGGGUGCUCAUGAAAGUGAGCCGCAGAGAAUAGGCCCAGGCAACUGUUUACCAAAAACACAGGUUUGUGCUAAAUCGAAAGAUGACGUAUACGAGCUGACGCCUGCCCGGUGCUGGAAGGUUAAAAGGAGAUGUGCAAGCAUUGAAUUGAAGCCCCAGUGAACGGCGGCCGUAACUAUAACGGUCCUAAGGUAGCGAAAUUCCUUGUCAGGUA
RNAcentral lists this ribosomal RNA (1882 nucleotides) under human gut metagenome. RNAcentral's name for it is "bacterial LSU rRNA". It matches the Rfam family "Bacterial large subunit ribosomal RNA", at positions 3 to 1978 of the family's 2925-position model. The record is from RNAcentral.